Molecule: ribosomal RNA, 253 nt
Filed under: uncultured bacterium
Lineage: Bacteria
Description: partial 16S ribosomal RNA
Rfam family: Bacterial small subunit ribosomal RNA
Source: RNAcentral
UACGUAGGGUGCGAGCGUUAAUCGGAAUUACUGGGCGUAAAGCGUGCGCAGGCGGUUUUGUAAGCCAGAUGUGAAAUCCCCGGGCUUAACCUGGGAAUGGCAUUUGGGACUGCAAGGCUUGAGUGCGGCAGAGGAGACUGGAAUUCCCGGUGUAGCAGUGAAAUGCGUAGAUAUCGGGAGGAAUACCGAUGGCGAAGGCAGGUCUCUGGGCUGACACUGACGCUCAUGCACGACAGCGUGGGGAGCAAACAGG